This 1432-nucleotide long non-coding RNA is filed under the name Mus caroli (Ryukyu mouse). RNAcentral describes it as "lncRNA (MGP_CAROLIEiJ_G0004394.1)". The record is from RNAcentral. Lineage: Eukaryota; Metazoa; Chordata; Mammalia; Rodentia; Muridae.
GUUCACAUUUAAAAAGAGGAAGAGACAUAGAGCAUCCAUGAUAAACGGCUCGUGCAGCAUCCUGACCUGACUAUCCAUUGUACUUGGCUUGAUGGCUGCAGCUCAUGGAAAGAUCAGCAGAUAUACACACCGUCUAGAUCUUAUCUACAUACUGGACAGAGCUCCAAUAUUUGGGAAAGCCAUCUACCUUGGUGAAGCCAUUUUCUUCAAUGCUGAUGAUGGUACCAAACAUAAAAAUCUUUCCAAGCUAUGGAAGCUAGUGAGAAGCUUUUUUAUGGAGAAUGAACCCCACAGGUUUAAUUUUCUCUAUGUUCUGCCACCAGUUAUCAGAGAACUGACCAAUGCAGUAGAGUAAGAUACUGUUUCCCUUGACGUCCAAAGACAGCUUUGAGAUGCCGACAAAAGUUUAGGUGAUGUGGAAGGGAAAGCCAGCUCUAUUUUUAAUGGCUGGCAUUUUGACUCACGGUUGACUCAUCACCCCUCUCACGGCAGCUCCUAUUCCCUGCCUGCCUCACUCUACCCUGUUUCUGCAGCCAGAAGCUGAUCUGGGGUCACCUUUUGAUUAGAUCCCAGAAUCUUCCCCACCAAAGCAUCCCUGCAUCAUACAAAGAACAUAUGGCUCGAGAUUGUGUGCUCUUGACUGUGCUGUCACCCGGUACUGGCUCUGGCCUUCGGUUGCCCUAUCUGUAAGAUGACAGGGAUGAAGAAAUAUCUACUGGGCCCCUUCCAGUUUUAAUGUUCAUACCCCAGAGUGAGAAAAGACAACACUUCUCAAGGUUUACCCAGUCUCCUCAUCCAAGCCUUUCCGUGGCAUUUUUGGCAGAGAGAACACUUAAAAAGGGUUGUCUGUGCGCCCCAGUCUUUCCUGCUUUCUAGGGCUAACAGAUGCGAGGUUAAUACUAAGUGAGAGCUGCAAAGUCAGGAAGAACACAGCCACUGAGACCCACUUCCCACGUGCUUUGCACAUUCCAGUGUGACAUUUGGUGGCUUAUUCUGAAUGCUUUACUCACUUCUGCUCUAAAAAGACAUGUACUUUAAGGGGCUCCUUCUCAUAGCGAAUACUUGAGCGAGCAAGACCCAUGUGCUCUGCGGCUCCAGGAAUGAAAGACUUUUAGCUCCUUCAAGCUGGAGCGCCAGUGGAUAGGUACCCUGCAGCUGAUUUUGAUAUAGCCUCUGUCCUCAUUCCACACCAAGGAUCAGAGGACACAGCCUGGCUAGCACUUGGAAUUUUCAGUUCAGGUAUUUGAGAUUCCAGCUUCACUACUUACUUGCCAUUUAAUCCUGGGCAAUGGUUUGAACACCAGUGUGCCUUACUCCCCCAUCUGCAACAAGAAGAUAACAUGCAUGUCUGCUUCAUAGGGUGGUGGUUAGAGUUAAAUGGCAUUGUCCACAUAAGAUAAUUAACAGGGUGCUUUAAUCAUAACAAGCAUUC